This 253-nucleotide ribosomal RNA is filed under the name uncultured bacterium. RNAcentral's name for it is "partial 16S ribosomal RNA". It matches the Rfam family "Bacterial small subunit ribosomal RNA", at positions 524 to 776 of the family's 1533-position model. The record is from RNAcentral.
UACGUAGGGUGCAGGCGUUGUCCGGAAUUAUUGGGCGUAAAGAGCUCGUAGGCGGUUUGUCGCGUCGAAUGUGAAAACCCGGGGCUCAACCCCGGGCCUGCAUUCGAUACGGGCAGGCUAGAGUUCGGUAGGGGAGUCUGGAAUUCCUGGUGUAGCGGUGAAAUGCGCAGAUAUCAGGAGGAACACCGGUGGCGAAGGCGGGACUCUGGGCCGAUACUGACGCUGAGGAGCGAAAGCGUGGGGGGCAAACAGG